RNAcentral lists this ribosomal RNA (166 nucleotides) under uncultured bacterium. RNAcentral's name for it is "partial 16S rRNA". It matches the Rfam family "Bacterial small subunit ribosomal RNA", at positions 353 to 511 of the family's 1533-position model. The record is from RNAcentral.
UAAGGGAAUUCUUCGGCAAUGGACGAAAGUCUGACCGAGCAACGCCGCGUGAGUGAAGAAGGUUUCGGAUCGUAAAACUCUGUUGGUAGAGAAGAACGUUGGUGAGAGUGGAAAGCUCAUCAAGUGACGGUAACUACCCAGAAAGGGACGGCUAACUACGUGCCGG